CCAGGGUGAACAAACACAGCCAUGUUUACCCUCACCAGGGCACAUUUGCAAGCUGAAAAAGACUGGGCAUAUUCAUCCCUUUCCUGCUUAGAGUAAUGGGGAGCCCAGCUGGGGUGGUUACCAGGUUCACAAAGAAACAGGCAAAAUUUUGGCAAGUCACUGGGAGACCUAGCAACAAAAUUCACUGCCCCCACCCCCUUUCCCAUCCAUCUGAAAUACAGGUUGCCUCAAAGAAGCAUGAAAUCCCUGGGAACUUCUUGUGCCUUUUGAACAAAUCAGCUCGAUGAAGGGAGAUGACUCAGUCUCCUUUGCCCCCGAAAGCAAGAGCCAACUCUGGCUACCAGCAGUCUUGGCUCCACAAAAGAACAAUUUACCCUGGUUCCAUCCCAGACUCCAGUCAGUCUCCCUGCAGCUUCAAGUGGCAUCAAAGAGGAGAAGAUUUCCUCCAGCUGAUCAAUGGCAGCAUAUGCACAGGGGCAGUGGACAUGGCAACAAUGAAG
This 500-nucleotide long non-coding RNA is filed under the name Homo sapiens (human). RNAcentral's name for it is "HSALNT0219818". The record is from RNAcentral. Lineage: Eukaryota; Metazoa; Chordata; Mammalia; Primates; Hominidae.